Dendroctonus ponderosae (mountain pine beetle) is the source of this 1458-nucleotide long non-coding RNA. RefSeq lists it as uncharacterized. The transcript is spliced from 3 exons. The record is from RefSeq and is a predicted model, not a curated record. Lineage: Eukaryota; Metazoa; Arthropoda; Insecta; Coleoptera; Curculionidae.
AAAAAAUGAACUUUGAUUUAAAUCGUGAUUUUUUUUCCAAAAAAGUCAGGUGAUCUAAAUCAUGAUUGAAAUCACUUGAAAAAAAUCAAACCAACCCUGAUUCCAAUCAUGUCCUUUUAGGGCGGAUUUAAUUAUCUAAUGAAAGAAAAAAUGGAGUUUUCUUGUCAAAGUAACUUUUAAAACGCGUUGAUUUUUUGGCGCUUUCAAGAUUUUCCGAAGACGAUUUAGGGACAAAAUUGUCUUUAAAAUGUAUAAAAGAGCACACUCUAACCAAAAAAAAAACUGCUGGAAAAACCCUCGGACAAACGGCAGUAGAUUCUGUCCAUACAGUUUCUGAAAAAUCCAUAAACCCUCCUUGAUAUAGUUCUUCCUUUGUUCAAUACGAAAACAAACAAGUUUUGCUUAUUUUGCAUAUACUUAUUGCAAUAUUUAUUUUUUAUUUACCCCCCAGUAAGCAUUCCCUCACUGGAAACACAACUUCAAUAAUGAAGCGUUUUAGCCAAAAACCACAUUGCGGUUUGAACAUCAUGGGCUAUCAAUAACUCGGAAAAAACAUGGACAGCGAUUGGUUGAGCCCACACUAAACCGCAUUCCCAUAUCAUAUCCACUUUAUCUCGUAACCAACAUGAAUGUGUGCAUUUCGUCCGCCCGUUGAGCGCAAAAACCAUCCCCUCAUUUUUGAAAUAUUGCGCCCUCACUUAGGUAAACACAAAAAUGUGGUUCGGCACCCCUCUGCGCUUUAAAGAUAAUUCGCAGCUUGGUGUUUUCUCUGGAACGGCCUGGAAAUGGAUAAUGGUUAAAGCGAGUGGAAAGCGGCAGGARAAUGGRAUUUUUUUUGAGGGAUAUUAACGACUGUACGCCAACAACAACCAGUCAGGAUGCACAUCAACUGAGGCAAUGUUGUCCUACCGGACGUGUGAUUGAAGAAAAUUGUCCCCAUCUGUUGCAAUCCAUGCAAUAACUACUGUUCAAGUACGGGUUUUUCCGCAUAAUUGACUAAUGAUACCCAUUGCAGAGAUGCCGAAGGAUGACGCAUUUUUCAGUAGUAAAAGAUCUGUCAGGCCGAAGAUGAGAAUAAUGCGAACGGAUUGUUAUAAGCAGCCUCGACCAGAUGAGGAGCAACACUUUGGUGCAUUUUUCCGACGUCAGCGGCAAUUUGUUACUCUUGGAUAAAUGACCAUUUAAUAAUCCAUUCUAAUAGGCGAGCAUUAUCGUUCCCUGAUGCCAUCAAUAUGUGUCAGCCUUGAUCUUGGCAAUGUUCCGACAUUUUAAUGGGGAGAAUGUUUGCAGACGAAAUCCAAACCUCGAAACUUUCGAUCUGCUGCCCGAAUUUAAUGCAACUAAUCCGGUUAAAUUCGCACCACCAUUAGCGACUAACCAGGCAGAAUAUCAAAGAGUCAAACUUGAAUCAAUGUGAAUUGGAAUCGGGAAUGCUAGAAAACGGCGUCUAUCAGUGCA